GCGGAGAUGCCGGAGUGGUCAAACGGGAUGGACUCAAAAUCCAUUAGCUUAGUGCUUACGCGGGUUCGAAUCCCUCUCUCCGCA
RNAcentral lists this transfer RNA (84 nucleotides) under Chlamydiota bacterium. RNAcentral's name for it is "tRNA-Leu". It matches the Rfam family "tRNA". Rfam says of the family: Transfer RNA (tRNA) molecules are approximately 80 nucleotides in length. Their secondary structure includes four short double-helical elements and three loops (D, anti-codon, and T loops). Lineage: Bacteria; Pseudomonadati; Chlamydiota. The record is from RNAcentral.